Molecule: long non-coding RNA, 227 nt
Organism: Haliotis rubra (blacklip abalone)
Lineage: Eukaryota; Metazoa; Mollusca; Gastropoda; Lepetellida; Haliotidae
Exons: 3
Source: RefSeq, a predicted model, not a curated record
AUCAUGGCUCCAUCAGAUUAUGACGUAAUUGGUGCUAGUUGAUUUUAGACUGGUCCCCUGUCUUGUCCCAAAUCAAAAGAUAAUAACACUGAAAUGAAUAACGUGAGAAAAAUUUGUGAAAAUACGAAAGAAGCAUAAGAACUGAAAAUGUAAGCAGCAGGACAGAUUGAUCGUGUGUGUUUUCAUUCCUAACCUCACGUCAAUGAAAAUACCAAAUAUGUGUAACA